This 403-nucleotide ribosomal RNA is filed under the name Verrucomicrobiota bacterium. RNAcentral's name for it is "Verrucomicrobia bacterium partial 16S ribosomal RNA". It matches the Rfam family "Bacterial small subunit ribosomal RNA", at positions 355 to 776 of the family's 1533-position model. Lineage: Bacteria; Pseudomonadati; Verrucomicrobiota. The record is from RNAcentral.
UGGGGAAUUUUGCACAAUGGGGGAAACCCUGAUGCAGCGACGCCGCGUGAUUUAGAAGGCCUUCGGGUUGUAAAAAUCUUUUUUAUGGGAUGAAAAUGACAGUACCAUAAGAAUAAGGUCCGGCUAAAUACGUGCCAGCAGCCGCGGUAAUACGUAGGGUGCGAGCGUUGUCCGGAAUUACUGGGCGUAAAGAGCUCGUAGGCGGUUUGUCACGUCGUCUGUGAAAUCCUAGGGCUUAACCCUGGACGUGCAGGCGAUACGGGCUGACUUGAGUACUACAGGGGAGACUGGAAUUUCUGGUGUAGCGGUGGAAUGCACAGAUAUCAGGAAGAACACCGAUGGCGAAGGCAGGUCUCUGGGUAGUAACUGACGCUGAGGAGCGAAAGCAUGGGUAGCGAACAGG